Molecule: ribosomal RNA, 468 nt
Filed under: uncultured bacterium
Lineage: Bacteria
Description: partial 16S ribosomal RNA
Rfam family: Bacterial small subunit ribosomal RNA
Source: RNAcentral
GACGAACGCUGGCGGCGUGCUUAACACAUGCAAGUCGAACGGAAAGGCCCUGCUUUUGUGGGGUGCUCGAGUGGCGAACGGGUGAGUAACACGCGAGUAACCUGCCCUUGACUUUGGGAUAACUUCAGGAAACUGGGGCUAAUACCGGCUAGGAGCUCCUGCUGCAUGGUGGGGGUUGGAAAGUUUCGGCGGUUGGGGAUGGACUCGCGGCUUAUCAGCUUGUUAGUGGGGUAGUGGCUUACCAAGGCUUUGACGGGUAGCCGGCCUGAGAGGGUGACCGGCGAAAUUGGGACUGAGAGACGGCCCAGUGGCGUACGGGAGGCAGCAGUGGGGAAUCUUGCCGAAUGGGCGGAAGCCUGAUGGAGAAACGCCGCGUGCGGGAUAACGGCCUUCGGGUUGUAAACCGCUUUCGCCUGUGACGAAGCGUGAGUGACGGUAAUGGGUAAAGAAGCACCGGCUAACUACGUG